ACUUAAUUAGAGACUUGGGACCCACACAACAGGACUGAACCUAUACAAAAAUAUGUCGGUUUCUGUGCUUUCCUGAAUUUUGUCUUGAACGGUGAGCUUUGUCCUCAACUUUGACACCAACAAAGGCUUAGUUACUGACUUCAAGUGAUGGAGGGAGCAUGUGUCUCGUCAUUAGUCGUGUGAACUGUGGCUUAUUUAAGAUGCUGUAUAGGAGUUUGUGAACCUUAGCGAUUAAUUGGGGUAUUAAAAAGGCAAGAUGACAGACCUACAGAAUAUGUUGGGAACACGUCCAACUGAUAUCACUUGGAAGAACUUGCAAGUGAUUCAGGUGGAAGAGGCAGAUACCUUCUGGGUUCGAGAGUUUCCCUCAAGUCACAUAUCAAAGAGCAUGUCAGAUUUCCAAAAGAUGGAAAUGCAGAUGAAUGAAAAGUUUAGAAAGAAGUUACCUGGCAGACAAAUGCAGGUCUUCCCAGCAAAGAUAGGUGAUAGGGUUGCAGUACUCCACAAGGAUCACUGGUAUCGUGGGAAGGUGUUGGAUAUUGCUGACACCUCUAAAGGGCAAGAAGCUGAAGUCUUCCUUCUUGACUAUGGUAGUUCUGUUAAAGCAGGAGCAGCAGCAGUAAUAGGCCUUCAGGAUGAAGACUGGACAAGUGUGUCAUAUCAGGCAAAGAAAAUUUAUCUGUUUGCAAUUAUCCCUCUGUCAUUGGAUUAUGCUCUUUCUGCAACACAGUUUAGUGUCAUUCCCAGAGAGAGUAAGACUUGGGACCCAGCAGCAACCAUUUUCGUCAGGCAUCUUGUCGAGUCCAAACCCAAAGCAGAGUUUUUGCCACUGCAGAAAAGAGAAGAUGGAUGUUUCCAUGGCCUGUUAACCCUUCACAUUAGGAUGGAGGUUUGGGAAUCAAUACCUGAGUUAGCAAAGAUCAAGUGGCCUAAGAAAGAUGAUGAAGAAGUAGCUGUCGACCUCGCCAAGCUGCUUGUAAUGUGUGACUUUGCAAAAUUUGCAACUGACAUUCUUGUGGACAGGAUGAAAGGAGGAAACAGUGAAGGAAAUUCAGAGGACACAGUCAGCUCUGAAUCAGAAUUUCCAACAGGAAGCAAUGAAGUCCAACCAGGAUCGUCUGAGCUGACGUUUAAGACUGUACAAGAUUCAGUGCCAAGAACUAGAGGGUUAACUCGAAUGGUUAGCCAUGCAAGUAGCAGCAGCAGUAGCACAAGUACAAGCACAAGCAAACUAGAAUCAAGUGCUGAUGGGCUUAAUACAUCAUUUCAGUCAUCUGGCCGUGGCAGAGGCCUUACAAGCUUAUUAGAUCUCUUAAAAGUUGGAACCUCUACUCUGCAGUCAGUUGGAAGCUCCAGCACCGACUUACAUUCAAGUUUGUCAAAUGAGAAGUCUGAAACAAGCCUAAAACCCGUAUUUCCUGACUCGCCAGUGGAAAAGUAUGAUGAAACUGCAUCCUCAGAACUUGAUGCAGCUUCUUCAUUGUGCCUAGAAGAAAUUCCUGUUCCUUCAUCAUCAAGACAAGGAAGUUUGUUAUUUCCAAUACAGAAUGAAGAAGAUGGUGUAAGCAAAGACUACAACCUUUCAUCAUCCAGUAAAGAAAGUGAUGGGAAACAGCUCCUAAUGGAUGAUGUUACCUCUGAUGCUUCUUUGGUUGUAAAGGCUGUCCCAGUGUCUAGUAUCAAGAUAUCACCUCAAAAUGUUGAAAAAUGUAAAGGAGCAGCUUGGCAAAAGGCAGAAUUUAUUGUAGAAUCACCUAGUGGAAGAGGAUUAUGCCUUAAGCUUGGUAAAUCUGGCCUUUCUGAUGUCAAGGAAGUGAGCAAAAUUUCCAAUUCUGUAGAAAGUGAGGUAUUGACAAAGAAUUCAAAAAGUAUGCAAAGUGGAAAUUGUAUGAAAAAAAAUAUUGGUAUGCAUGGGAAAAAGAGUAAGUCUGUCAACUCAGGAAAGGUUGACUGUCAUCUUAAUGCCUCAUUUAUUUCGGACUCUAGAGAUGUUUGGGACAGAGAGGAAAUGGGAGAUGUAGAGGAUGAAUUGACAAUCUCAUUAAGAGACAGAAGUUUGCCAGAGGGCCCCUGCAUUGCAAAAUUGUUCCGGAUAUUUAUAGGUGGGGAGUCCCCAAUUGCUGAGGAAGAAGUAAUUGUUAAUGAGAAUAUGGUUGAUGCAAUACUAAAUAGUCAUAUUGUGAAAGUACUGAAUGAGUUAGAUAUGAGAGCAACACGACUACAGGCAUAUGCUUGGCCUGCAAUUACACGCGGUACUUCAGCCAUCAUUGUUGGAGGCAAAAGAAGUGGUAAAACUCUUGGGUAUGUCGUACCAUUGAUAUCUGUUAUGCUAGACUCGUGGCAGCACAUAAGCCGUCGUCUUCCUCCUGGCAUUGGAGCUGUUUUAGUUAUUGUUUGCAAAGACUGGAGAAGUGCAAAAUACACUGCUGAUUCUUUAGUCAGAUUCUUACCCUCAAAAAUGUCACUGAAAGUCAUCACAGCUUGGGGAGGUUGUGGCAAUGAAGAGGUAAUAGAUACCAACUCCCAGUUACUUGGAGGUUGUGACAUCUUGGUCACAACAGCUCCAUGUCUAGUUAGGCUUCUGUCAGGCAAAACUACAGAAUUUGCAAAGGUAGAUGAAGGAAGUGGCACCAAGGCAUUUACUUCCCUUGCUAGGUGUUGCUAUCUUGUGUUUGAUGAUGUUGAUUCAACCCUUGAAAACUCUGCAAAAGAAGUGAAACAGAUACUUAAGUACUGGGGUGAAGGAAAGACCAAAAGUGAACGACGGGAUUUUGAACAGCAAUUACUUUUAGUUGCAUCAUCAUGGACCAAAUUAUUGAAUUCAUUGACAUACACAAUAACUCCUCUUCUAGAGCCAAUCAUUAUUGUUGCUGAUCCAUGGGAAGCUAUGAUAGCAACUAGAGGAUGUACCUAUGUUCAGAAGAUAGAGGAAGUAGGGACAGAACAAGAUAAACUUCUUGAACUUUUGCAAGACAAUAGACAUGGAAAGAUUUUGGUGUUUGUAGGUGACGAUAGUCAGGCAAGGAAUCUAAAAUUGUUAUUGGAUGCUGUGGCUGUAUAUUCCUUAACUGUAACAAGCUCCACUACAAUGUGGAUUAUGCAGUCCACAGUUCGGGAAUGGCACUCUUUAGCAAAUGUUGUUUUAAUAGUCUGCCAAGAGGCUACAUCACUUCUCCUCAUGUAUGAAUUAGCAAAUGCAGAACUCAUCAUUCAUGCAGAUAUACCAAAGUCUGUUUGUAGUUUCAAAAUGAGGUAUGCUUUUAUGGUGAAUAAUUUUUCAACAGAUUUAAAUCAAGAAACCAUAAACUGUGAGUCUCACAUCAUUUUGUCUAAAGAAUCAGUGAAUCUGCUUCCUCCUCUUGUUCUUGAAAUAGAAAGAGCCAGUAAAAUUCCCAAAGAGUUUCAACUUUUAGCAACUAAAACUAUGGAAAGCUGUAACCAAGGUGAUGCACUUUGUUAUUAUUUAAAAGCUUAUGGCAAGUGCAGUAUAGGAUAUAGUUGUGGAUUUAGGCAUCAAAUACAACAGUUUGAUGCUCAGAGUGUGAUCCCAAGAAAAGGUGAAGUUACAUUCAGUGUUAUCAAAGUGAUAAAUGCUUCACGGUAUUUGGUACGCCUCUUAAGUUUUAGGGAGAGAGCAGGGAUUCCUGAAUUUAAUGUAAGAGAUCACUACCUGAGGUUGUUCAUGGCUCUACAGCAGUAUUAUGCUGAUCCAGAGAACUGUGAUCAGCUGAUUAAUGUAGAAAAGAGAAUGCUAUGUGCUGUCAGAUACAAAGAAAAGUGGGCAAGAGGACAAAUUGUAGAAGUUGAUUACUCAAAGCACAUUCCUAUGAAUGUUGUAUUUCUGUUAGAUGAAGGAAAUGAUGUGACUGUAGAACAAAGUUCUUUAUACAUCCUUCCAAGUCAUUUGGCCUUGAUGCCACCUCUCAUUGUUGAGGUUUAUCUCUGCAGAGUUCAGCCUCUUGAUUAUGAUAAGGAAUGGACUUUCCAUGCAUCAAAGUACAUUGAUGAUAUAUUCAGUAAUAACUCAAACAAAAGUAUUUUUGUUGGACAAAUUGAAUUAGCACUUGGUUCAACACUGUGGUUAAGCCCUGUGACUGAGUUUACACAGGCUGGUAAAAGUAUGGUAAAGAUGGAGUCUCUAAGGUCUAGACUCAUUUCAAAUGGAUUUGGAAUCAGCAAUGUAUCCCACAUGGACAAGCUGAAAGAGAUGUGUAAGGCGGCAGACAUUUCCUUGGAACCUGAAGACCUGGCAUGCAAUGUGUUUAGGGCAACUGUAGAGAAGGCACUAGACUUACUGAAAGGUACAAAACCAAAGAAAGAGAGCUGUGAAAUGUCUAAAUUAUAUGAACAGAAUAUCACUUUAGAUCGAUCUAGUGCCAGUGAUGCAAUUACUCAUAUCAUUGAACAAACAGAUUCUGUCGACAAAAACAAGAUUGUCAGUGAUCAUGUUAAGAAAAGGCAAACCUCAGCAGUAGAUGUACAAAGGUCAAGCACUCUUAGAAGUGAAGCUAAAGAUUUACUACAGGAAACUUUGCCCUUGGAUACUGAUGUGGAAGUUGGUAUUGCAGAAAUAGAAUCUCCUGAUUGGUUCUUCAUUCAGCGUGCAGAUAAUUAUGAAAGGCUGGAUGAAUUGGAGUUUGAAGUCCAAGAGAUAACCAAACAUUGGCUCACCAGCAAUAAGCAAAACCUUCAUACAAAGAGUUUAAAAUGGGAAGAGUGUCCAUGUAUUGUACCUUCUAGCUAUUGUUUGGCAAAGUUUUCCGAUGGCAAUUACUACCGCGGCUGGGUGGACAGAGUCGGGCCAGAUGACACCAGUAAGGUCUUUUUCGUGGACCAUGGGGAGACUCUGAUUGUGCCUACUAGUCAGGUUCAGCCAUGCCCAUCACAUCUGUUGGAAUGUCUGCCUGCCCAAGCCAUUCCAUGUUGUUUGGCCAAUUUCACAUGUCCAUCAGCAAAAUUAGAGGAUGUGAAAAGGGCUAUGGAGCAGGUGGCUGAUUCUGUCGAUACAUGGACAGCAAAGGUUUUAGAAGUAAUAGAAUCAGAAAACGGGAAAAUUCACAGGGUAGAGUUAACUGACACCUCAGUGCAGCCCCCAAGGCAGCUGUCAAGAGAACUCAUGCAUGUACUCCCAUCUGUGGAUGAGAAUUACAAGGAAAAAGAGAGGACUGAAGAUGCUGAAAAUGAAGAUUGUAUUCAGUCAGCAGCUAUGCUCAAUGCAUCAUGCUUGGACAAAGAGGAAGCAUUUAAGUUUUUGCAGAAUUUGCCCAAUUUUAAGGAAUUGGCAAAAACAAUUAGGAAUAAUAGCACAGAAACAAUAAGAAACCAAGAAGAAACUACAGCAAAAUCAGAUGUUAUUCCUGGAUCAUCACAAACUUGUAACAAAUCUGACGAGUUAACAGACAGAAUCAGCAAACAAGAUUUAGAGUCAGAAAAAUAUAAAACUGUCAAAAAGAAAGAAUUGAAACAUCACAGGAAAGCAGAAAAUAACUUAUCAUCAGAGACUAACUUUAAUCAGAACCAUAAAAAUACAGAUAAGCAGCAGAUGCAACAAGAGGCCACCAAAUCGUUGGGAAAGGCAAAACCAACUAAGGCUGAUACAGACAUGUUCAAUCAACUGUGUCUGCUUGUGCCACCCCUUGAGGCUGUUAAAAGCAUCACACGGAGGCUAUAUCCAGAGACGUCCUGGAGUCAGACGGACAGUUUGGUUGUCAUCGAUAUACAUGUGCCAGGAGUUGAGCACUACAAGUGUCGGUUUACAAGGAACCAUCUGACCUUCAUGACUGUUGUGAGAGAAAAAUUCUACGUUAUUGAAGAGACUUUGGCAAAUGAAAUCGAUACAAAUUCUUGCUCUCUCAAGUUAAAAGGAAUGUCUGUGCAGAUUUACUUGACCAAGAAUACAAAAAGUACAUGGCUGUUGCUCUUUGCCGAGAAAGUAAGACGCCCAUGGUUGAAGAUGGCCUACCAGAGCUCAAGCUUAGAUGAUGAUAAGUCAUCAGUCCCUGCUAUCAGAAAAUCAUGGACAGAUUUGCAGAUUGAUGAAAAAGAGAACAGCUUUGGAGGAUACCCAGCUGGCAUGAGUGAUAGUAGUUCAGAAGAUAGUCAUUCAGAUGAAGAUAUGGAUCAAUUAAUCACCUGAGUUGAUUAAGCCAUUGCUGAUGGGGCUGUUUUGGCUCCAAAUGGUCGAAACGACAAGGUGUUUCAAACAUAAUUCGUCCGUACAACUUUGUCAUCAACUUGUGUGUUUUAUGAUCUUUUUCUUCAUGUCAUGUCUGACCUCAGGGCUCUUCAAGCCUGGCCAGAUAUUUUGUCAGUCAAAGGUGUUUUAAAACAGAUAAUAUCUAUUAUUCCAUAGGAUUAUUGCUUUGAACUCUUAAAGUUCAAGCUUAUAAUUCAGUAGCUGAAAUAUUAAGGAAUUUUGAAUUGCGAUGUACAGAUACGUUGUUGUAAUCAGGAUUUUCUUAUUUCUACUUAAAAAAUAAUAAUGAAAAUAUUGUUGUUUACAGUGUCUCUGUAAUCAAAAAAAUAAAAUCCUCUAUUCUUUUGAAAAAUGAGGUCUCUAGAUAACUUUACAUGUAGAGUUAUGAAAGAUUAUUUUCCAAUCAACUGGAAAGUUGGUAAACUGCUUCCAUUAGAAGUAUAUGAUGGGAAAAAAGUCCAUCACUUUGUUUUUUUACUUUUCAUCAAAGUAAGUUCUACUUCACUCCACAAUAUUUUGUUUGUUAGAUAAUUUAUAUUGAUAAUUGUAGUUCCAAUUUUCAAGACAAUAUCAAUUUGCAAUUUUUGUUUAGUGUAUAUAUUUCAUGGAAUAAUUCUCUAUGAUUAAUUCCUAAAGAAUAAUCUAAUUUAAAAAAAUAGAGAAGAAUUCUCUAAUUCAACCAUGACAUCAGAUAAUUAUUUAACAAAGGUAGUGCUCCCCUUCCCCCAAA
Molecule: unclassified non-coding RNA, 6926 nt
Filed under: Penaeus japonicus
Lineage: Eukaryota; Metazoa; Arthropoda; Malacostraca; Decapoda; Penaeidae
Description: uncharacterized LOC122252551, transcript variant X3
Source: RNAcentral